This 314-nucleotide ribosomal RNA is filed under the name Hansenocaris itoi. Its description in RNAcentral is "partial large subunit ribosomal RNA". Lineage: Eukaryota; Metazoa; Arthropoda; Thecostraca. The record is from RNAcentral.
AAAACAAUUACGCUGUUAUCCCCCAAGUAACUUAAUCUAUUAAUCUUUUUAAAGGAUCAAUUUUUUUUAUUUUAAUUAAAAUAAUAAUAGGAAUGAAGAUAUAAUUUCAUUUCCACCCCAGUUAAACUUUGUUUCCUUUAUAAGAAUUUUACACAAAGUAAAGAUUCAGGGGGUCUUCUCGUCCUCUUAUUUUUUAUUUCUUCUUUUUCAAAGAAAAAUUAAAUUAAAAAAAUAAAAUUGAGACAACAUUAUUCUCAUAAACCCUAUCAUACAAUUUUACAAUUAAUAAACUAAUUAUUAUGCUACCUUUGCAA